This 537-nucleotide ribosomal RNA is filed under the name uncultured bacterium. RNAcentral describes it as "bacterial SSU rRNA". It matches the Rfam family "Bacterial small subunit ribosomal RNA", at positions 973 to 1509 of the family's 1533-position model. The record is from RNAcentral.
ACCUGGUCUUGACAUAGUAAGAACUUUCCAGAGAUGGAUUGGUGCCUUCGGGAACUUACAUACAGGUGCUGCAUGACUGUCGUCAGCUCGUGUCGUGAGAUGUUGGGUUAAGUCCCGCAACGAGCGCAACCCUUUUCCUUAUUUGCCAGCGGGUUAAGCCGGGAACUUUAAGGAUACUGCCAGUGACAAACUGGAGGAAGGCGGGGACGACGUCAAGUCAUCAUGGCCCUUACGACCAGGGCUACACACGUGCUACAAUGGUCGGUACAAAGGGUUGCUACCACGCGAGUGGAUGCUAAUCUCAAAAAGCCGAUCGUAGUCCGGAUUGGAGUCUGCAACUCGACUCCAUGAAGUCGGAAUCGCUAGUAAUCGCGGAUCAGAAUGCCGCGGUGAAUACGUUCCCGGGCCUUGUACACACCGCCCGUCACACCAUGGGAGUUUGUUGCACCAGAAGUAGGUAGUCUAACCGCAAGGAGGACGCUUACCACGGUGUGGCAGAUGACUGGGGUGAAGUCGUAACAAGGUAAGCGUAGAUGA